Molecule: ribosomal RNA, 253 nt
Filed under: uncultured bacterium
Lineage: Bacteria
Description: partial 16S ribosomal RNA
Rfam family: Bacterial small subunit ribosomal RNA
Source: RNAcentral
UACGUAGGGGGCUAGCGUUGUCCGGAUUUAUUGGGCGUAAAGAGCGUGUAGGCGGCCAGGUAGGUCUGCUGUGAAAACUCGAGGCUUAACCUCGAGAUGUCGGCGGAAACCAUCUGGCUAGAGUCCGGAAGAGGAGAGUGGAAUUCCUGGUGUAGCGGUGAAAUGCGCAGAUAUCAGGAAGAACACCCGUGGCGAAGUCGGCUCUCUGGGACGGUACUGACGCUGAGACGCGAAAGCGUGGGGAGCGAACAGG